CAACGCUGGCGGCAGGCCUAACACAUGCAAGUCGAGCGGCAGCACGGGGAGCUUGCUCCCUGGUGGCGAGCGGCGGAACGGGUGAAGUAAUGCAUGGGAAUCUGCCCGGUAGAGGGGGAUAACGUGUGGAAACGCACGCUAAUACCGCAUACGUCCUACGGGAGAAAGGAGGGGAUCUUCGGACCUUCCGCUAUCGGAUGAGCCCAUGUCGGAUUAGCUAGUUGGUAGGGUAAAGGCCUACCAAGGCAACGAUCCGUAGCUGGUCUGAGAGGAUGAUCAGCCACACUGGGACUGAGACACGGCCCAGACUCCUACGGGAG
Molecule: ribosomal RNA, 320 nt
Filed under: Halotalea alkalilenta
Lineage: Bacteria; Pseudomonadati; Pseudomonadota; Gammaproteobacteria; Oceanospirillales; Halomonadaceae
Description: bacterial SSU rRNA
Rfam family: Bacterial small subunit ribosomal RNA
Source: RNAcentral